GACGAACGCUGGCGGCGUGCCUAAUACAUGCAAGUCGAGCGAAUCAAUAGGAGCUUGCUCCUGUUGGUUAGCGGCGGACGGGUGAGUAACACGUGGGCAACCUGCCUGUAAGACUGGGAUAACUUCGGGAAACCGGAGCUAAUACCGGAUAAUCCUUUUCCACACAUGUGGAAAGCUGAAAGUCGGUUUCGGCUGACACUUACAGAUGGGCCCGCGGCGCAUUAGCUAGUUGGUGAGGUAACGGCUCACCAAGGCGACGAUGCGUAGCCGACCUGAGAGGGUGAUCGGCCACACUGGGACUGAGACACGGCCCAGACUCCUACGGGAGGCAGCAGUAGGGAAUCUUCCGCAAUGGACGAAAGUCUGACGGAGCAACGCCGCGUGAGCGAUGAAGGCCUUCGGGUCGUAAAGCUCUGUUGUUAGGGAAGAACAAGUAUCGGAGUAACUGCCGGUACCUUGACGGUACCUAACCAGAAAGCCACGGCUAACUACGUG
RNAcentral lists this ribosomal RNA (495 nucleotides) under uncultured bacterium. Its description in RNAcentral is "bacterial SSU rRNA". It matches the Rfam family "Bacterial small subunit ribosomal RNA", at positions 28 to 507 of the family's 1533-position model. The record is from RNAcentral.